This 223-nucleotide ribosomal RNA is filed under the name uncultured bacterium. RNAcentral's name for it is "partial 16S ribosomal RNA". It matches the Rfam family "Bacterial small subunit ribosomal RNA", at positions 111 to 334 of the family's 1533-position model. The record is from RNAcentral.
UAACACGUGAGCAAUCUGCCCUUCACUUUGGGAUAACUUCCGGAAACGGAAGCUAAUACCGAAUACGACCACUUCAGGCAUCUGAUGGUGGUGGAAAGUUCCGGCGGUGAAGGAUGAGCUCGCGGCCUAUCAGCUUGUUGGUGAGGUAAUGGCUCACCAAGGCUUCGACGGGUAGCCGGCCUGAGAGGGUGACCGGCCACACUGGGACUGAGACACGGCCCAG